This 7228-nucleotide long non-coding RNA is filed under the name Solanum tuberosum (potato). Its description in RNAcentral is "long non-coding RNA (STUB_LNC002189)". Lineage: Eukaryota; Viridiplantae; Streptophyta; Magnoliopsida; Solanales; Solanaceae. The record is from RNAcentral.
AAUCUAUCAUCGAUCAAUUUUUGCAAGCACAAUCAUCAACUUGGUGUUCUUCAAAUUGUAGGAUGACAAUUGAAAGAAUUUGUGAUCACAAAAACAUAAGUCGUCAAAUGGAUAUUGUCUUUUCUCAUGUUUUUGUGAUCAUAAUUUUUUUCCCAUUAACAUCAUAUAACUUGCUCAAUUGAUUGUUUUGCUUGCAAAUAUCGAUAGACAAUCGAUUCAACAUCUUAUUUAUCAAAUAUAAAUGGUUCAUCUACAAUGAAAUAAUAAUUACAAUUUCAAUUUCACAAAGAAUAAAAAAUUGUUGCUCUCUUACAUAAAGCAUUUUGUAUUUUAGAGAAUGUGGUCUACUAGAAUACGUAUAUUUUAUGAAAUUUCUUUCACUUUUUUUUUUUUGCAUUUAAGAGCUCUUUUUUGUCAUAAUUAUCACAAUAAGACAUACGCUACAUAAACUCUUAUUGAUGAGUGUUUGAAUCCAGGACCGUCUUCAAAAGUUUAGGGGCAUAAAGCCAAACUUCAUAAAAAAAAUUAGUAGUUUUUUGGUUGGCAUAUAUAAAUUGAACAACUAUAACAUAGUCAGUAAAAUUCUAUAAAUGAGGUCUGUAGAGGGAAAGAUGUACGAGAACCUUAUGAAGUAAUCGUAUAAAAAAAUGUAAUUUUCAAUGAAAAAUAUAAUAUAAAAUCAAAAUAAUAAAACCUGACUAAAAAAUUUGAUAUAUAUAUAUAUCUUUAGAAAAAAAUUGUGGGCUCAAAAAAAUUGAGAUUCCAAGAGAUUGCUUUAGGGGUUUUAUGAUCGAAAUGGUCCUAUAUGAAUCUCAAACUAGAGUGCGUACAGAAAAGAACAAACAUGCAUAUUUAUAUAAGGAAGGAAAAAGGAAAAUUGAGAUAUUAGUGAACAAAUUACUAUACCAGUGGGAAAGCUAAGGGUCUCACAUAUGAACCCUCAAGCCUGUAAUAGAGUUGUUGGUGUUGGUGGAUUGCUUCUCCCUAUUGCAUUCAAGAUUUUGGUCCACAAAUUUUGAAAACUAUUUUUGGAACGAUAGAAAAGAAAGCUUAAAUAUAGUCUCCAAGGUGGAGAAAUGUAUAGAGAAAUAGAGGAUGCAUUUGAGGAAUGAAAAAUUAUGGAACAAAGGAAGGGUUUUUAUAGUUGGUGUGAGGUGUUUUUUCAAGAUAAAAUAUGAAAAUAUUGUGAAUAACUUUCUAUAUAUAUUGAUUUACAUUGGAUUUGAUUAGAAGUCAAAAUUAACCAAAUCUACCAAUCUUAAAAACCUAUCAAAAACAAUAAAUAAUUUUAGCAAGAAAAUCAUUAUCAUAAAAUAGGCAAAUAAAUUAUUAUUAUUAUUAUAUACUAAAAUAAACAGUUUUGGAAGAUGAAAGGUUUAUGGCCUUUUCAUCUUCUUCAAUUUACUUGAAUGUAUAUUGAUUUGAACUAUCUUGCUCUUUACUAAACGUUAUUUAAUAAUUAAUUAGAAUGUAUUAAUUAUUGUAUCCUUAAUUAUAAUUCAUUUACAUGGAAAAAUAGGGUGAAAAAUUUAAAAAUAUGACAAAAUAGAAAAAUAAAUUUCCUAAUCAUUGAGCCAUGCCAUAUCAGCGGGAUGAAGAUCCUGCUUUAUAUAUAUAUAUAUAUUUGAUCAUUUCAUUGAUUUGUCUUGGUUGAAUGAUAUAGUAUCUUAAUUUGUCCUUCUAUCUACUGUAAAUAAAUACCAGUUACAACAUAUUUUGUUAAUUUAAUUAUAGUGCCUCAAAUUAAAUUUAAAGCUACUUAAUUAGUAAUAAGUUGUUUUUUAAGAAACAAUUUAUAAAUAGCAAACAAUAAAUAAACUUUACGAAUGAGAAGUUGGAAACACUAAUUUUGGAUUAUGGAAAAAUAAUGUGUAGUAUAAGUAGCAACACUCCGUAACAACUUGAUAACUCAUUGAUUCAUCUUAAUUACAUAAACACAUAUAGAUGUAAAUAGAAAUCGUAGUUCUUUGUUCUUUUUUCUUUUUCAAUCUUAAUUACAUAAACACAUAUAGAGGUAAAUAGAAAAUGCAGUUCUUGAGUUUUUUUUUAAAUAAAAUAAAAUUGGGGGUGGGGUGGGGGAGUGUGGGAAAUCAAACUUUCACCAACAAGGUGAAAGUUCAAGUAACCAACCAACUAAACUUCUAAGAUUCCCCACAAUUCUUGGGUUGAUAUAAACUUACUUUUGAAAGUUGAAUUUCUUGCAAGACUAAAUUAGUUUGUUUCUUUAUAUUUUGAAUCCCUCAAUAAUAUAUAAACCUUAAUUUUUAUUUAUUGAAAAAAUUACAAGCAUAUUGUGUUUAAGACUUUAAUUUACAAUAUAAAAUAUACUCUUGUUUAUUUACAAAACUAAGUUUUUAAUUACAAAUAUAGCAAUUCUUAAAUAAUCCACGUUUUAUUUUUAUUUUUAAAAGGUUAGUUUACUUAUUUUUUGGGAAUCAUAUAAAGAUUUCUUUUUCUCUCUUCAUAGUUCAUCUCAAUUACAAGAAUAUUCUCUCUUCAAAUGGGAUAUGUUUCGCUCUUAUUACUCUCUCAUCUCUUCCAUUGUCAGUGUCUAGGUAAAACCUAUAUUCUUGAUAAUAUUUUUGGUUCUUUUCUAUUCUUAUUUCUCCUUCUUUUUUUUAAAUCACCUCUAAUUCAAGAACAAAAAUUAUUUUUGUUAUAGUUUUUACCAUGAAAAAUUUCAUGGAUUUUACUCCUAGAAAGAGUCUUAGUUCUAGGCUUCGACGCAAUAUUAACAGCCCCUUCUAUCUAAAUUGCGUUUUGAGUUGGAUACAUUCUCACUAUUCCCUAUAAGUGAAUAUGAUUUAGGGAUUCAUGGCAUCAGUGAAAUUUAUCUCUGUUACAACUAAUUCGCCAAAGAAAAAGGUAAAGAGAAAGAUGUUAGUGCAAUUUCUCUCAUUAUUGAUUUUAGUUAUAUGUUUCAACCCUACAAUUCAUAACACCAUAAUAUAAUCAAGUAUAUAACAUUUUUUUAGCAUCAUCAAGUUAAUCCAACCUACAUUGAUGUAAAAUAUAAUUUUAAAAAAAUAAUUUAAACAAAAAAAAGUUAAGGGAGAGAAUAAAAAAAACAAUUUUUUUGGAAAAUAAAUGGGGUAAAAAAUGGAAAAAGAAAAGAAAGGAGAAACAGACGAGUGAGUGAAGAAAGAGAAAUAAUAAAAGGAGAGAAAAAAUUCAGAAAAAAAACAUUUGCUUAUUAAAUAUCUUAGGAAGACGAUCAGAAAAUAGGAGAAAUAUCAGGAAGCAAAAAUAUUGAGGGGAGAUAUUUUAGGGACAAAAACGUGAUUUCUUUAAUCCCUUUAUUAUAUUUUGGUAUUUUUUCGUUCUUGUUUAUUAUUUUUUAUUUUGAUCUAUUUUGUCUAUGUUGGUGAAAAGUUAAACUACUAUUAUAUAAGAGUAAUUUAGGUUCUUAAAUUGUAUAAUUAGGUAUUUCCCCCUUUUUAUUUCCUUAUCGAUCUCCAUAUGCAUUCAUUUGUUAAAUAACUCGUUCCCCAGCUAGUAAUUACUUUUUAGUCUAUAGUGUUAAUCUUGAUAGGGUUUUUCUGAAGAAGGAAAAAAAAUGGAUCAGGGGAAAGGGAAAUGGGAAGGGGAUAACAAGGUGCGGAACUAAAUUCUUGUCUUUAACGUGCGGAGUUUACUUAUUUUUUGGGAUUCAUAAUAACAAGAUUUCUUUUUCUCUCUUCAUUAUUCAUCUCAAUCACAAGAAUAUUCUCUCUUCAAAUGGGGUAUGUUUCGCUCUUAUUACUCUCUCAUCUCUUCCAUUGUCAGUGUCUAGGAAAAACCUAUAUUCUUGAUAAUAUUUUUGGUUCUUUUCUAUUCUUAUUUCUCCUUCUUUUUUUUAAAUCACCUCUAAUUCAAGAACAAAAAUUAUUUUUGUUAUAGUUUUUACCAUGAAAAAUUUCAUGGAUUUUACUCCUAGAAAGAGUCUUAGGUCUAGGCUUCGACGCAAUAUUAACAGCCCCUUCUAUCUAAAUUACGUUUUGAGUUGGAUAUAUUCACACUAUUCCCUAUAAGUGAAUAUGAGUUAGGGAUUCAUGCCAUCAAUAGUGAAAUUUAUCUCUGUUACAACUAAUUCGCCAAAGAAAAAGGUAAGGAGAAAGAUGUUAGUGCAAUUUCUCUCAUUAUUUCCUCAUUAUUGAUUUUAGUUAUAUGUUUCAACCCUACAACGCAUAACACCAUAAUAUAAUCAAGUAUAUAACAAUUUUUUUAGCAUCAUCAAGUUAAUCCAACCUACAUUGAUGUAAAAAUUAAUUUUUAAAAAAUAAUUUAAACAAAAAAAAGUUAAGGGAGGGAAUAAAAAAACAUUUUUUUUGGAAAAUAAAUGGGGUAAAAAAUGGAAAAAGAAAAGAAAGGAGAAACAGACGAGUGAGUGAAGAAAGAGAAAUAAUAAAAGGAGAGAAAAAAUUCAGAAAAAAAACAUUUGCUUAUUAAAUAUCUUAGGAAGACGAUCAGAAAAUAGGAGAAAUAUCAGGAAGCAAAAAUAUUGAGGGGAGAUAUUUUAGGGACAAAAACGUGAUUUCUUUAAUCCCUUUAUUAUAUUUUGGUAUUUUUUCGUUCUUGUUUAUUAUUUAUUAUUUUGCUCUAUUUUGCCUAUGUUGGUGAAAAGUUAAACUACUAUUAUAUAAGAGUAAUUUAGGUUCUUAAAUUGUAUAAUUAGGUAUUUCCCCCUUUUUAUUUCCUUAUCGAUCUCCAUAUGCAUUCAUUUGUUAAAUAACUCGUUCCCCAGCUAGUAAUUACUUUUUAGUAGGGCUGCGCAUCGGUCGGUUCGAUUCGGUUUUAUGUGUUAUUGGUUCGAUUUAUCGGUUUUCGGUUUGUAAAUAUGUCAAAUCGAUAACCAAACCAAUAACAUAUUUCUUAUCGGUUUUUGAUUAAUCAGUUUAUGGUACUUAACGGUUCGAUUUUCGGUUUAACCAAUAAGAAAAUACUCAUAUAUAUUAUAUACACAUUAAGAAAAUUUUCAUAUAAACCGUAUGAUUUUUCCAACAUUUGGCAUGAAAGUAAUAAUCAUAAAAUUAACAAUCAUAUUUCUUGCAAGUUUAGACACUAGACACAUUCAAAGGAAAAAGUGUGAGAGUAAUUAACAAUCGUUAACCAUUAACAAAAAGUAGUGAAAGUAACAAUCGUUUAACCAUUAACAAUAAGACUAGUAAAUUUAGUAUAGUCUUAUUGGGUUAUCGAUUUAACCAUUAACAAAAAUCAUAAAACCGGAAACCGAACCAAUAACCCAAUAAAAAAAAUUUACAAAAUCGUUUAAAAACCGUUAGCCCAAUAACCCAAUAUCAAUAAAUCAAUAGUGUUUUUUUCGGUUCAGUUUAUUGGUUAAAUCGGUUUUUGUGCACCCCUACUUUUUAGUCUAUUGUGUUAAUCUUGAUAGGGUUUUUUUGAAGAAGGAAAAAAUAAAUGGAACAGGGGAAAGGGAAAUGGGAAGGGGACAACAAGGUGCGGAACUAAAUUCUUGUCUUUAACGUGCGAGUUCAGCUAGCUAAUCAAUUAAACUACUAAGAUUUUUCAACCUUGAUAGGUUAAAAUUUUUGACUCACAAUUUUAGUUAACGAUGCAAGAAAAAACAACCGUCCACCAACACCCUCACCCCAAAAAAGAGAGAUUUACAUUUCCAUCGUUAUAUAUAUAUAUAUAUAUUACAAAAGUAUCCACCUUAAGAGAAAACAUAAAAUAUUGUUCAUAAAUUUGUUGUUGAUAAUUACAUUAAGAAAAAUAAACUCUCACUCUCUAGUGACUUAAUACCACUAGAUAGAGUGUCUAGCGACCUUUUAUUACAAAUAAAUAAUCAUGCACAUGAAUAAGUAAAAACAAAGAGAGUUAGACCUUACCUUAUCAAUCUUAAUAACGUAACAAAGUCUCGAAAAUAUACUCAACUCUGUAAUUCCAAAGAAUCACUCUUCAUAUUUAAACAUUCAAUUAUUUUGAGAAAAAAUAUUAUUAUUUUUAAAGAAAGUUCAUAAAGUAUAAACAUUCUAAGUAGAUCGUGUCCUCCAAAAUGCAAAAAACACUUUAGGUAAGAAAGCAACAGAACUUUCUAUCCUAUGUGGAGUUGAGAUUGCAAUUAUCAUUUUUUCAAUUGAAUUAUGUGAAUCAUUUAGUUUUGAUAAAUCAUAUGUUGAAUCUAUCAUCGAUCAAUUUUUGCAAGCAAAACCAUCAACUGGGUGUUCUUCAAAUUGUAGGAUGACAAUUGAAAGAAUUUGUGAUCACAAAUACAUAAAUUGUCAAAUGGAUAUUGUCUUUUCUCAUGUUUUUGUGAUCACAAUUUUUUUUCAAUUAACAUCAUAUAACUUGCUCAAUUGAUUGUUUUGCUUGCAAAUAUCGAUAGACAAUCGAUUCAACAUCUUAUUUAUCAAAUAUAAAUGGUUCAUCUACAAUGAAAUAAUAAUUACAAUUUCAAUUUCACAAAGAAUAAAAAAUUGUUGCUCUCUUACAUAAAGCAUUUUGUAUUUUAGAGAAUGUGGUCUACUAGAACACGUAUAUUUUAUGAAAUUUCUUUCACUUUUUUUUUUUUGCAUUUAAGAGCUCUUUUUUGUCAUAAUUAUCACAAUAAGACAUACGCUACAUAAACUCUUAUUGAUGAGUGUUUGAAUCCAGGACCGUCUUCAAAAGUUUAGGGGCAUAAAGCCAAACUUCAUAAAAAAAAUUAGUAGUUUUUUGGUUGGCAUAUAUAAAUUGAACAACUAUAACAUAGUCAGUAAAAUUCUAUAAAUGAGGUCUGUAGAGGGAAAGAUGUACGAGAACCUUAUGAAGUAAUCGUAUAAAAAAAAUGUAAUUUUCAAUGAAAAAUAUAAUAUAAAAUCAAAAUAAUAAAACCUGACUCAAAAAUUUGAUAUAUAUAUAUUGUGGGCUCAAAAAAAUUGUCCUAUAUGAAUCUCAAACUAGAGCGCGUACAGAAAAGAACAAACAUGCAUAUUUAUAUAAGGAAAAAGGAAAAUUGAGAUAUUAGUGAACAAAUUACUAUACCAGUGGGAAAGCUAAGGGACUCGCAUAUGAACCCUCAAGCCUGUAAUAGAGUUGUUGGUGUUGGUGGAUUGCUUCUCCCUAUUGCAUUCUAGAUUUUGGUCCACAAAUUUUGAAAGCUUAAAUAUAGUCUCCAAGGUGGAGAAAUGUAUAGAGAAAUAGAGAAUGCAUUUGAGGAAUGAAAAAUUAUGGAACAAAGGAAGGGUUUUUAUAGUUGGUGUGAGGUGUUUUUUCAAGAUAAAAUAUGGAAAUAUUGUAAAUAACUUUC